Molecule: ribosomal RNA, 253 nt
Filed under: uncultured bacterium
Lineage: Bacteria
Description: partial 16S ribosomal RNA
Rfam family: Bacterial small subunit ribosomal RNA
Source: RNAcentral
UACAGAGGUCUCAAGCGUUGUUCGGAUUCAUUGGGCGUAAAGGGUGCGUAGGCGGCGCGGUAAGUCGGGUGUGAAAUCUCGGAGCUUAACUCCGAAACUGCAUUCGAUACUGCCGUGCUUGAGGACUGGAGAGGAGACUGGAAUUUACGGUGUAGCGGUGAAAUGCGUAGAGAUGGGGGAGAACACUCGUGGCGAAGGCGGCCAGCUAGACCAGUUCUGACACUGAGGCGCGACAGCGUGGGGAGCAAACAGG